AUGGGAAAGAUCCCAGACCUGGCUCGCUCCAGGCAGAAACAAUUACUCCUCCCCCAGACCCGGCAUAAGAGAAGGGCUGAUAGCGCCUAUGUGUCAAAGGAGAGUUAUUGCCGGGGAUCCUCUUCUCUGAGAUCUAAGGAUGAAUCAGAGAGUAGUAGUCUAUGCAAGAAGAGAAAGACGUCCCAGAUACAACCACCCAUUUCACUCAAAGAUAGUCUCGUUUGGCCUAAGGUGAAAGACGCGGAUUGCACAGAGAUUAACAUGAUAUAA
Molecule: non-coding RNA, 270 nt
Organism: Vicia faba (fava bean)
Lineage: Eukaryota; Viridiplantae; Streptophyta; Magnoliopsida; Fabales; Fabaceae
Source: the annotation of a GenBank genome assembly